GCCUGGGUGGCUCAGUCGGUUGAGCAUCUGACUUCGGCACAGAUUAUGAUCUCAAGGCUUGUGAGUUCGAGCCCCACGUCAGGCU
Molecule: transfer RNA, 85 nt
Filed under: Felis catus (domestic cat)
Lineage: Eukaryota; Metazoa; Chordata; Mammalia; Carnivora; Felidae
Also listed under: 1 other name
Rfam family: tRNA
About the family: Transfer RNA (tRNA) molecules are approximately 80 nucleotides in length.
Source: Rfam by way of RNAcentral